Molecule: long non-coding RNA, 514 nt
Filed under: Homo sapiens (human)
Lineage: Eukaryota; Metazoa; Chordata; Mammalia; Primates; Hominidae
Description: non-protein coding lnc-VEGFD-1:1
Source: RNAcentral
ACUGGACCCACACUCUCUUAACCUGCCCUCCCUGCACUCGCUCCCGGCGGCUCUUCGCGUCACCCCCGCCGCUAAGGCUCCAGGUGCCGCUACCGCAGCCCCUCCAUCCUCUACAGCUCAGCAUCAGAACACUCUCUUUUUAGACUCCGAUAUGGGGUCCUCCAAGAAAGUUACUCUCUCAGUGCUCAGCCGGGAGCAGUCGGAAGGGGUUGGAGCGAGGGUCCGGAGAAGCAUUGGCAGACCCGAGUUAAAAAAUCUGGAUCCGUUUUUACUGUUUGAUGAAUUUAAAGGAGGUAGACCAGGAGGAUUUCCUGAUCAUCCACAUCGAGGUUUUGAAACAUUCCCUUCUCUGCUAACACGUUGAAGGCGCUGUGGCUUGCUUUGCAGCAAUAAUGGAAGCCAUUCCUUUCACCUACCCUACACUCAUACUGGAUUCUGACCCUGUUCCUGGAAGAUGUCUCCACUCUGUGCUCCUGCUCGAGCUACUUCUUGUGUGCUCCAUCCCAUAGCUCCA